Molecule: ribosomal RNA, 525 nt
Filed under: Fusarium proliferatum
Lineage: Eukaryota; Fungi; Ascomycota; Sordariomycetes; Hypocreales; Nectriaceae
Description: eukaryotic LSU rRNA
Rfam family: 5.8S ribosomal RNA (bases 166-319)
Source: RNAcentral
CUGCGGAGGGAUCAUUACCGAGUUUACAACUCCCAAACCCCUGUGAACAUACCAAUUGUUGCCUCGGCGGAUCAGCCCGCUCCCGGUAAAACGGGACGGCCCGCCAGAGGACCCUUAAACUCUGUUUCUAUAUGUAACUUCUGAGUAAAACCAUAAAUAAAUCAAAACUUUCAACAACGGAUCUCUUGGUUCUGGCAUCGAUGAAGAACGCAGCAAAAUGCGAUAAGUAAUGUGAAUUGCAGAAUUCAGUGAAUCAUCGAAUCUUUGAACGCACAUUGCGCCCGCCAGUAUUCUGGCGGGCAUGCCUGUUCGAGCGUCAUUUCAACCCUCAAGCCCAGCUUGGUGUUGGGACUCGCGAGUUAAACCGCGUUCCCCAAAUUGAUUGGCGGUCACGUCGAGCUUCCAUAGCGUAGUAGUAAAACCCUCGUUACUGGUAAUCGUCGCGGCCACGCCGUUAAACCCCAACUUCUGAAUGUUGACCUCGGAUCAGGUAGGAAUACCCGCUGAACUUAAGCAUAUCAAUAA